This 161-nucleotide non-coding RNA is filed under the name Bos taurus (domestic cattle). Lineage: Eukaryota; Metazoa; Chordata; Mammalia; Artiodactyla; Bovidae. RNAcentral also lists the same sequence under 1 other name. The record is from Rfam by way of RNAcentral.
CACUGCCUCCCGCUACUCCAUAUUCGGUGGUUUAGUGAGGCCCUCCGGUCGGCCCCGCCCAGGUAGGCCCAAGGCCCUGGCGGAGCACUGACGAGGCCGCACUUGACUAUCCAGAGGAAGUAAAAGCUGUAACACAGUUUCCGUAGGUGAACUUGGGGAGG